UCUGUCAAAAAAGGACUUAUUACUCUCCCUCCUCUCUCUCUCUCUCUCUCUCUAUCUAUCUAUACACACACAUAGAGAAAACAGAACAGUGACAGCUAUGAAAGGAGGGAAAAACAAGAAUUCCGGUUUGCUAUCAGAUACAGAGACGACACCACCACCACCACCCACACCACCUUCUGAUUCCGUCGCCGGCGACAAUGGUGUGAAUUCUGAGAAGCCUUCCAAAGUUGAGGAGAAAGAAAGAGAUGUGGGUGCUGAAGGGGCUGACAAGGAAGAAAAGGAUGAAGAAGAUGUGGGAAUCCAAGAAGGGGAGGCUGAAGAGGAAUUGGCUGAUGCUGAAAAACCCAAACUUGCUGAAGGAUUUUAUGAGAUUGAGACCGUAAGAAGAAAGAGGAUUCGAAAGGGAAAAAUUCAAUAUCUAAUCAAAUGGCGAGGCUGGCCGGAGUCUGCAAACACAUGGGAACCUGUGGAGAAUCUAAUGACGUGCUACGAUGUUAUCGAUGCAUUCGAAGAGAGCUUGCAAUCAGGGAAACAGCGAUCUACACGUAAGCGUAAGCGAACUCAUGGGGUUACUCACUUUCAAAUCAAAAGAAAACAGCAGCACCAACAACAACAUUCCCCUGCAGAUGCUGCAGAUAAUGUGCCUGCAGUGAAGGUUAGGAUCAGUGAGGAACCUGUGCCUUCACCUCCUCUGGCUAGCUUGAAUGUGAUUGAUCAUGUGGAUAGAAAUGGUAGUGCUUUGAAUUAUAUCGAAGUGGAUGAAGUGGCUAAUGACAAUGAUUUAAUGUUGGAUUCCUCUGUAAAAGAAAUUGAAGGGCAAAACGAAUUGCAUUUUAAGCUUAGUGAACUACAGGGAGUGAUGGAAACAAAAGAGGCCUCUAUGGAAAAUGGAGUGAUGUCAUCAAAAGAGACCUCUGUGGAAAAUGGAUUGAUGGCAACAAAAGAUACCUCUGUGGAAAAUGGAGUGAUGGCAACAAAAGAGAUCUCUGUGGAAAAGGGAGUGAUGGCAACAACAGAGACCUCUGUGGAAAAGGGAGUGAUGGCACCAAAAGAUACCUCUGUGGAAAAGGGAGUGAUGACAACAAGAGAAGCCUCUGUGGAAAAAGGAGUGAUGACAACAAGAGAGACUUCUGUGGGAAAGGGAGUGUUGGAAACAACAGAGACCUCCGUGGAAAAGGGAGUGAUGGCAACAAGAGAGACCUCUGUGGGAAAGGGAGUGAUGGCAACAACAGAGACCUCUGUGGAAAAGGGAGUGAUGGCAACAAGAGAGACCUCUGUGGAAAAGGGAGUGAUGAUAACAAGAGAGACCUCUGUAGAUAGAUCCGACAAUGGCUUCACAAGUGGAUUUUCAACGGCCAAUGGAACAGAAUCACUUCAAUCUGGUCGCUACACAGGAGCUAAAAAGAGGAAGUCUGCUUCUGUUCGGAGAUUUAAACAGCAAGCUACUUCUGGUGUAGUGAAGGAUCUCGAAGAUGCUUUAGCAAAUGCUACCAGUGGCCCUUUGAAUGCAUUCAUGGAGGAAGAAAUGUACAAUCAUGGACUUGUGGGCAAUGCUUUGAGUUGUAAUAAUAAGUGUGAUCAGUUCAAUGAUACAUAUGCCAUAACAGAAAUUAUCAGGGCCUUGGGCUAUUUACCACCUAAUACAGAAAAUGGCUUGCAGGAUGUGUCUGUGACCUUUCUAGCUAAGAGGUCAGAUGGGAAGGAAGUUAUUGUGGAUAACAAGUUUAUGAAGACUAAUAAUCCACUUUUGCUGAUAAGCUUUUACGAGAAGCAUCUUCGACAUCAUCCCCCUCAAUGAGUGAGCUGCAGUGAAGGUGGAACUGGUCUAGCUCGACUUGUCUCUAUGUAUAGAGUGUUGGAAUUUUGUUGCAACAGGCCGUAGGUUGAACACUUUUGUAUGCCAAAUCCACGGAGUCGACAAAUCCCUGAUUCCAAUUAAUUUUGAAAUUCAGAGAACUCUGAGAAGAAUGACCAACAAUGGUGUUCAUGAAAUAGGGGAAGAAACCAUAAUAAGAUUGAUGGCUGAGGAACGAGAGUGGGUACGUGAAGAGGAGGCAACUCAUCUAGCUGAAAACCAAUGUCGGGCUGCAGUUGCAGACCAUGUCAGGAUAGAUGACAUGGCUUGCCAAAAUGAUCCGAAUAAUUAGCUCAGGAGGAGAGGAAAUGGGGGUUGGCCACAUCAGCAACCUAGACAUGUUCCCCAGUUUGAGGCUGAGGGUGAUUAUCAUGUGGACUAGGAUGAUGUAGGAGCUACCGGAGCUACUGUUUUACCUCCAUUGCCUGCAAGGAAAAAGUUUGAUAUCACAGCAGCACUAUCCAGAUGUUGAAUAUAGGGAGAUUGUUCGCGGGAACAUGCUCUGAUGAUGCCCACUUGCACUUGAUGAAUUUUGUGGGUGUUUCAGAAGUACUUACAGUAAGCCUGGAGUGACUCGGGAUGCAUCAGAUUGCGAUUUUCCCACUAUCAUUAACAACAGAGGCAACCCUUUGUCUGGCUGAACUUCCGAAUGAUUCUAUUACCACAUGGACAGAACAGAAAGACGCAUUCUUAGAGAGAGAUAUUCUUUCCACCAUCCAAGAUGUUGUAGCUUAAAGAUGAGAUAUAUAACUUCAGGCAGUUGCUCGAAGAAGCUUUAUAUCAUACAUGAAUACAGUUCACAAAGAAGCUGAAGCAGGUACUGAAUCACAGGAUACCCGAUGAUUCGCUUUUGGGAAUCUUCUACAGAGCUAUAAAGUCUAACUAUAAGGCUGUUGCGGACAUUGUCACGGGAGGAACGUUUAUGAAUGACACCGUUGAGGAGGCAACUGUGAUACUUGAUAAGGUCACUAAAACAAAUAGAUCUUUGCACAUAAGGUAAGCAGAGAUUUCUGAGGGUACUUAUCAGUAGGUUCAGCUGCGGAGCAGAGGAGAAUGCAUGAGGAGUUGGCCCAAAUGAGAACUAAAUUCAGAAUUAUUGCAAAACAUCUCAUGGGCACUGGAGCGGAAAAAGUUAAUGCAGUAGGCUUACUUGGUAAAGAACCAAUACAUGAGGAUUAUGAGUAUGAUGGGAUGUCCACUAUGUGAAUGAUCAGACAACAGGUUUCCGGACCAACGCCUAAAGGUCUAAUCAAGACACUUGGUGCGAAGGUCAAAACUUUAAUAGAGAUAAAAACUUCAACCGGUAUGAGAACAUUGAUAGGAACAUUGGCCAGUAUAGAGAUGGUGAAUGGAUGAAGAGUGACAAUUAUAAAAGUGAGAGAAGUGAUGCAUAGAUUCCACUAGGAAAACGCGAUGGGGGAUCAGGUGUCUCAAGGAUCGAAGACAUGUUGGCCAAAGUGUUGAAGAGAGUUGAACAUCUGAUGAAAGUCUCAAGGAGAUAUGACAUAUCAAGCAGGAACAAAAGGUUGAGUCACAUGCCACAGCUAUUAAGCAGAUUGAGCAACAACUAGGCCAGAUGUCCACGACCUUGAAUCAAUGCCAGAAGGGGAUACUUCCGAGCAAUACAGUCCAAAAUCCAAAAUAUAAUGGGCAUGGCAUGAUAGUGACUACUCGAAGUGGGACCAGUGCUCCUCCUCAUUCUCCUCCACGUGGGUAGUUGAGAUUUCGUUUGAAGACUACUUUUUAAGAUGCCUUCAAGAAGAGUUCCAAUCCAAAAGGGCAUUGAUAUUAAUGAGUGUUAUUUUCGUUCAAAAUGGUUCAGAACCAUCAUUGGUAGUGGAUGUAAAAGCAAGGCAAAAAAUGAGUCCAACCUUAGUUAAAUUAAAUAAAUUGGUGGUUGAUAAGAUGAUUGUAGUUCUCUCAUAACGGGGAGAUAGGGUACCUAGUUAUCAAGGUUGGUUGUGUGUUCUACUGUUAAUGAUAUUAGAUGAGUCAUGAUAGAUAGAGAGAGAGUGUGUGUUCCAUAUAGUGAUGAUGGUGGCAUGCUUAUUCCAUUAUAGACAUAGAAGAAGAGCUAGAUGGAUCUUUUUGUGUGCAUUAGAUAGGUAAAAGUAUAUUGGUGUGCCCUUGGUAUGAGUUAAUGCAAAUUUUGAUGUAGAAAUGCUAAGGUAGGCAUGAAAAUUCAUAAGUGAUGUUGACUUCAAGGGAGGCAUAAAGUGGUUAAAAUGUUAGAAUUGAAUGCGUGGUUGUAGAUACGUGAGUGAUUGUAGUAGGCUAUUGAUGACUUCUUGUUAAGACUUUCAAAUGAGUGUAUUUGAAUGGUUAUAGAACUAGGCUUGAAUGUUGUAUUGAUGUCAUAUGGGUGAAGGUAUGAUGUGUUGGGUAUUUCUUUAUUAGGUCUCGUGGUUUGUUGAAUAUGGUAGUAAGGGGUAGUACUCUUGGAAUAGAAUUUUGUAUAAAGGUAUAGGGCCCUAAGGAUUUUUUUUUAAGGUGGCCUAUGGACAUGAUUUGUCAUUGGAUUUAGCCUCUGUUCAUCUGGUAUACCAUGUGUCUAUGUUGAGGAAGUGUGUAGGUGAUCCAAGUUUCAUUGUGCCUUUGAAAGUAGUGAAUGUUGAAGAAAACCUGAUCUAUGAGAAGGUUCUGAUUAAGAUUUUGGACCGGCAAGUCAAGAGGUUGAGGAACAAGGAAGUUGCAUCCACCAAAGUCCUUGGGAGGGAUACACAAGUCAAAAGUAAUACAUGGAAAGCAGAUGUGAUGAAGUGAUACCCUUAUCUUUUUCCCUCUACUCAAGACUAAGGGACCAGUGCUCCUCCUCAUUCUCCUCCACGUGGGUAGUUGAGAUUUCGUUUGAAGACUACUUUUUAGUAUGGGAUGGGAAGCACGCCAUCAAUGCAAGGUGACGUGCAUAGUUUUGGUAUCGUCUUACUUGAAAUGUUAAACGGGAAAACACCAACAGAUAACAUGUUUGGUGGCAAUUUAAGUCUUCAUGAUUUUGUCAGGAAUGCCAUGCCUGAUGGAGCACUUGAAGUAUUAGAUUCAGUUCUUAAUUUGGAAGAUGAAGAAACAAGCAGAGAGAGCUUUCGAAUUCCAAGAUUCAUGAGAAGGAAAAAAAUGGAGGGUUUAAUCUCCUUAUUUGGAGUUGGAAUUGUUUGUUCAAUGUAUGAUUCAGGUAAAAGAAAAAACAUCAAGGAGGUGGCUAGAGAGCUGUGUUCUAUUAGAGACUCUCUUGUUGGUUGUACAUGAAACACUUUUUUUGUUUUGUUAUGUUUUGUCAUGUAAGGUUCCAAUAAAAUAUUAUGAUUAAUAAUUUGAAUAUAA
RNA transcript from Solanum dulcamara, 5173 nucleotides. It is a transcript of the gene named chromo domain protein LHP1-like, with no coding region annotated. NCBI's taxonomy places the organism in Eukaryota, Viridiplantae, Streptophyta, Magnoliopsida, Solanales, Solanaceae. The transcript is spliced from 11 exons. The record is from RefSeq and is a predicted model, not a curated record.